UUAGAGUUUGAUCAUGGCUCAGGAUGAACGCUGGCGGUGUGCCUAAUACAUGCAAGUCGAACGCGUUGGCCCAAUUGAUUGAUGGUGCUUGCACCUGAUUGAUUUUGGUCGCCAACGAGUGGCGGACGGGUGAGUAACACGUAGGUAACCUGCCCAGAAGCGGGGGACAACAUUUGGAAACAGAUGCUAAUACCGCAUAACAGCGUUGUUCGCAUGAACAACGCUUAAAAGAUGGCUUCUCGCUAUCACUUCUGGAUGGACCUGCGGUGCAUUAGCUUGUUGGUGGGGUAACGGCCUACCAAGGCGAUGAUGCAUAGCCGAGUUGAGAGACUGAUCGGCCACAAUGGGACUGAGACACGGCCCAUACUCCUACGGGAGGCAGCAGUAGGGAAUCUUCCACAAUGGGCGCAAGCCUGAUGGAGCAACACCGCGUGAGUGAAGAAGGGUUUCGGCUCGUAAAGCUCUGUUGUUAAAGAAGAACACGUAUGAGAGUAACUGUUCAUACGUUGACGGUAUUUAACCAGAAAGUCACGGCUAACUACGUGCCAGCAGCCGCGGUAAUACGUAGGUGGCAAGCGUUAUCCGGAUUUAUUGGGCGUAAAGAGAGUGCAGGCGGUUUUCUAAGUCUGAUGUGAAAGCCUUCGGCUUAACCGGAGAAGUGCAUCGGAAACUGGAUAACUUGAGUGCAGAAGAGGGUAGUGGAACUCCAUGUGUAGCGGUGGAAUGCGUAGAUAUAUGGAAGAACACCAGUGGCGAAGGCGGCUACCUGGUCUGCAACUGACGCUGAGACUCGAAAGCAUGGGUAGCGAACAGGAUUAGAUACCCUGGUAGUCCAUGCCGUAAACGAUGAGUGCUAGGUGUUGGAGGGUUUCCGCCCUUCAGUGCCGGAGCUAACGCAUUAAGCACUCCGCCUGGGGAGUACGACCGCAAGGUUGAAACUCAAAGGAAUUGACGGGGGCCCGCACAAGCGGUGGAGCAUGUGGUUUAAUUCGAAGCUACGCGAAGAACCUUACCAGGUCUUGACAUCUUGCGCCAACCCUAGAGAUAGGGCGUUUCCUUCGGGAACGCAAUGACAGGUGGUGCAUGGUCGUCGUCAGCUCGUGUCGUGAGAUGUUGGGUUAAGUCCCGCAACGAGCGCAACCCUUGUUACUAGUUGCCAGCAUUAAGUUGGGCACUCUAGUGAGACUGCCGGUGACAAACCGGAGGAAGGUGGGGACGACGUCAGAUCAUCAUGCCCCUUAUGACCUGGGCUACACACGUGCUACAAUGGACGGUACAACGAGUCGCGAACUCGCGAGGGCAAGCAAAUCUCUUAAAACCGUUCUCAGUUCGGACUGCAGGCUGCAACUCGCCUGCACGAAGUCGGAAUCGCUAGUAAUCGCGGAUCAGCAUGCCGCGGUGAAUACGUUCCCGGGCCUUGUACACACCGCCCGUCACACCAUGAGAGUUUGUAACACCCAAAGUCGGUGGGGUAACCUUUUAGGAGCCAGCCGCCUAAGGUGGGACAGAUGAUUAGGGUGAAGUCGUA
This 1528-nucleotide ribosomal RNA is filed under the name Limosilactobacillus fermentum. Its description in RNAcentral is "bacterial SSU rRNA". It matches the Rfam family "Bacterial small subunit ribosomal RNA". Lineage: Bacteria; Bacillati; Bacillota; Bacilli; Lactobacillales; Lactobacillaceae. The record is from RNAcentral.